ACGGUGUGGCAGAAACAGAGAUGCACAGCCCUGAGGCAUCUUAUGCCACAGAUCUCCUCUCAGAGGUGACAGCACACUAAUCCAGGAAUUAUGGGCAAUCACCAUCACCCCUAAUGAUCCAGUUGAUCCACAUUGGGUUCAAAAUGCCAAGUGGACAAAAGACCAUCAAUAUAUGCCAAGCUGAGUGGGAGUAUGCAGCUCACUUAGCUGCCUUGACAUCGAUUUCCACCUGCUAUUGUUGAUGAAGCUGCAUUCACAGGGGAAAGAAGAUGAUGUGUGCUUUGAAGCUGACCAGGCCAUCAACUUGGCACAGACAUGGAUAGGUGUGAUUGAGAUGCUGCAUCCUGGAUAGAAUACAAGGAGAAUGGUGCCCACCACUGUGGCACUCCUCCUACCAAAGCUCACCACCUGGAAAAACCAUCACAACCACAGCAGACAAACUCCCAUGCAACAAAACACCAGAGUCUGAUUCCUCAAAAGCUUCUAUCAGAAGCGAGGAAGAUCUAGGAAACUGCCAUAGACAAGAGCAUUCUAAAGACAUAUGAAGA
Long non-coding RNA from Mus caroli (Ryukyu mouse), 548 nucleotides. RefSeq lists it as uncharacterized. Lineage: Eukaryota; Metazoa; Chordata; Mammalia; Rodentia; Muridae. The record is from RefSeq and is a predicted model, not a curated record.